GGGAGGGAUGGAAGCAGAAGCAGUGGCGGGGACAGAUGGGGACACUGAGCCAGGGCUGGCGAGUGUUUGCCAGGCUGGCAAGUCGCUCGCUGCAGCUCCGGGCCAUGGAGCAGUGCAAGAGUCCCUGGCCGUUCGAGGCGUUGGAAGCAUUGCGGCGCUGCCGUGAGAGUAAAUCAUAAAUGUU
Molecule: long non-coding RNA, 184 nt
Organism: Amblyraja radiata (thorny skate)
Lineage: Eukaryota; Metazoa; Chordata; Chondrichthyes; Rajiformes; Rajidae
Exons: 3
Source: RefSeq, a predicted model, not a curated record